ACAACAACAAAGCCUUAAUGUCGAGUAUGCAGUUUUUAGUGUUAUAGAUGGAUUACAAAUCUUAAUGGCAUGUACCCAAAACACAGGUUCAGUUUUAGUGUCAUCAGUAAUUCUAGCUAGAAGUAUUAGUGCAUUUUGGCCUUUUGCUAUCAAUGAUUUCGAUUCAACUUGUGGACUUCAUUUGUAGGCAAGUUAUGCAAAAGCAACAGGCAAAUUAUUCAUUUUAGAUUAGCAUUUUUUAUUUCUGCAUAGAUUUGAUAAUUGCUAGCACUAAUAUAGUUGUAUCUUGGAUAGGUUUUGAUUUCACACUUAUUCCUUUUUUACUCCUUUUGAUUCUGCAUUUUUUCCAUUUGUAUGUCUUCUUUACUUUUGUUUUGUGUCCCCUAACUACUAAUCUUGGUGGUUUCCUUUCUUCUAUUCAAGUACCAGACGUAGAAGCAUCUUAUAGAUUAGAACAAGAUGAUAGGGAUGUAAACAGAUUGGAUACAGACGGAUAUUACUGAUAUCGUAUUUGUUUUCAUAUUUUUGUUCGAAUACGGAGUCGAAUACGGAUAUUGCUAGUUUUUGCCGGAUAAGAUUGCAAUGGAUGUCGACAUCAUAAAAAUGUAACUUUUGAGUAUUCGGAUACGGAUCGGUUAUAGAUAUUGAAUACUCGGAAACAGAUACGGACGGAUAAAAACCCUUCCAGACCUGAUCGAAUUCGAAUACAGUCGGGAAAUAUCCGUACUAUUUACAUCCCUACAAGAUGAUGCAGUUGUAGGCACCGUACUACUGCAGUAGGACCUGAUCUUGGUUGUUUUUCGCAUUCACCAGCAGGGAUUUUGGUGGAAGCGCGGGGGAUGGGCUCAAGUCCUCUACAACGGGUGGGGGUGAAAGGUCAGGGGCGUCAGACUAUAUCAAAGACCCUCUCAAAUAGAAUCUUCGUUUUUAUUGCAUUUUCUUCAGAUUUUUAUCCCCCAUCCAAUCCACCUUAGUGUUUUUGUAUUUUUUUAGCAUUUGUUGGUUGGGAAUUCGAGGCCAUGGAAACGAUAGUCUUUGCUGCUAGCUGGAAGGGUGCUGGGUGUGCUGGUGGUUUAACAGAGAUGGCACAGUUGCUUUUUUAGUUGGAGCUUGGAGCAACAUCUAUAAAGUUGGUGAUUUGCAACUUUUAUGGAUGUUAUGGAGGCUGGGGCACCGCCAACAACACACAUGGAUUUUUUGGGACUGGGUGGUACUGUUCAACUUCGGCAACACCAACAACAACACGAGCGGCGUUGCGGCAGGGAUAGGGAUCCGCAUUGCGCCGCCGGAGAGGCUAGCCUACUUCUACCACCCCACGGGGUGGCCCUCCGUCGACAGCAUCAUCCCCAACUUUCAUAUGU
Molecule: long non-coding RNA, 1361 nt
Organism: Panicum virgatum (switchgrass)
Lineage: Eukaryota; Viridiplantae; Streptophyta; Magnoliopsida; Poales; Poaceae
Exons: 3
Source: RefSeq, a predicted model, not a curated record